CAGCCGCCGCGGUAAUACAGAGGUCUCAAGCGUUGUUCGGAUUCAUUGGGCGUAAAGGGUGCGUAGGUGGCGCCAUAAGUCAGGUGUGAAAUCUCGGGGCUCAACCCCGAAACUGCACUUGAUACUGUGGUGCUUGAGUACUGGAGAGGAGAUUGGAAUUUACGGUGUAGCAGUGAAAUGCGUAGAUAUCGUAAGGAAGACCAGUGGCGAAGGCGAAUCUCUGGACAGUUACUGACACUGAGGCACGAAGGCCAGGGAAGCAAACGGGAUUAGAUACCCGCGUAGUCCCUGUCUCUUAUAC
This 301-nucleotide ribosomal RNA is filed under the name uncultured bacterium. RNAcentral describes it as "partial 16S ribosomal RNA". It matches the Rfam family "Bacterial small subunit ribosomal RNA", at positions 509 to 807 of the family's 1533-position model. The record is from RNAcentral.